AUUGAACGCUGGCGGCAUGCCUUACACAUGCAAGUCGAACGGCAGCAUGAUCUAGCUUGCUAGAUUGAUGGCGAGUGGCGCACGGGUGAGUAAUACAUCGGAACGUGCCCUGUAGUGGGGGAUAGCUAGUCGAAAGAUUAGCUAAUACCGCAUACGACCUGAGGGUGAAAGUGGGGGACCGCAAGGCCUCAUGCUAUAGGAGCGGCCGAUGUCUGAUUAGCUAGUUGGUGAGGUAAAGGCUCACCAAGGCGACGAUCAGUAGCUGGUCUGAGAGGACGAUCAGCCACACUGGGACUGAGACACGGCCCAGACUCCUACGGGAGGCAGCAGUGGGGAAUUUUGGACAAUGGGCGAAAGCCUGAUCCAGCAAUGCCGCGUGUGUGAAGAAGGCCUUCGGGUUGUAAAGCACUUUUGUCCGGAAAGAAAUGGCUCUGGUUAAUACCUGGGGUCGAUGACGGUACCGGAAGAAUAAGGACCGGCUAACUACGUG
Molecule: ribosomal RNA, 490 nt
Filed under: uncultured bacterium
Lineage: Bacteria
Description: partial 16S ribosomal RNA
Rfam family: Bacterial small subunit ribosomal RNA
Source: RNAcentral